UGGGCAGUGCCCGCUGCCCUAAUGGCUUCUCAGAAUUGUUCCAGGAAUAUUUUUUUGAAAUGUUGGUGUGCAUGCACUGCAGUUUGGACUCUGUAACUUCCCUGAGCCUGUAAAGAGCAUGGGAGUGCUACUUUUAUUUUUCCCAUGCUGUCAGACCCAUUCCUUUCUUUUUGAUCAGCCUCAUUGUUACAAGCACAAGGGCAGAGAAGGGAGUACAGAACCAAAGAGAAGAGCACCUGUUCCACUAACUUUACAGAGACACUCCCCAGUUGUGUGGCAGAGCUGAUGUUUCAGAGCAGAAAGAAAAGUGUGUGAGAAUGUGGCUCUCUGGCAAGAUGUCCAGAAUUCCCAGGUUUCAUUGGGUUUGACAGCAGCACCAUGACAAUAUUACUGUAGUUCCUGGGAGCCUUCGUCAGGGACCAGGACCACAUUGUGUUAGCUGCUGUACAAAUACAAAACAAAAGUCAGUCCAAUAAUCUCUCGUUUCUGUUUCUGGCCUAGCUGGAUUACUGUAGGUGCAGAGACAUCAUGUGUAAAAGACAAAAAAAUGUCAAUCAAACCAUUUUGAAAGGUCAGUGUUCAGUUUCCUGCAUGGGUGAAGUUUUGUGCUGACUCUUAAUUAUUUGAACUAGCUUAUCCAUCCCUAUUAAUUAAGUGUCCUUAGGUUUGUCUUCAGCACAAUGAAAUAAAUAAUAGAUACAUGUAAAAGAAAAUGAAAAUGCCGCAGAGCCAUGUUCAUCUGACUGGAAUAGGCAGCCUGGAAUUUAUUUGGUUAAAUGGGAGUUUCAAUAAGAGAUUUUUCACAGUGUGUUUACAGUAUUUCCCACAAUGUGCAUUCAGCCUAUUGAAUUCACUGCCUCAAGCAGAGAUUUAAAUAAUUUAUUUGGAUUUUAAAUGAAUGGCUAAUUUUAUGUCCAGAACUGACAUUGGUAGUUGUACAUACUAAGAUAGAUUUUAUUACCUCUCAUGCUUCAGGACGAAAGCUGGUCAGCAAUAGGGAACGGGUUGCUAUUUUUUUCUCUUCUAUUAAUUGUGCCAUCCUUACCUCGAGUAGCACUUUACUCUACAAAAUGAGGGUAGCAGAAUUGGGCCCUCUUUUAGUCACUUCUGUGGCUUCUUUCAUCUGGGGAUCUGCUUGUUCUUUGCAAACAAAUUAAUGAAGCCUCAUUACACCCCUGUAAAUUAGAAAAGGAUUAUAUAGUGAUCUAAGGUUUUGUUGUGAAUUUUAGCGCUCAGGAACUGUGCUGGAUUUUUGAGCCCUGGAGAAUGAAAUCCACGGAACAUUUACAGCAUAGCCUCCCAGAUUCAUGGAGCUCAAUCUAUUUGACUAACAAAGAGAAGGUUAAGGGGUGACUCGAAGUACCUACAUGGAGAACAAAUGGGCUCUUUAAUCUAACGGACAAAUGGAUAACAGGUCAACUGCUGGAAGUUGAAGGAAUUAUUUUGCUGAAAUUAUAUGCAAGGACAUCUAUGUGCAGGCCUGGCACGGUGGCCAAAAAGAAUCCAAUCUUGUCCUCAUGAAGUGCAUGCACACCAAGAGUGAAAUCCACAUGGGCAACGCUUCUCGAAGAACCACAGUUACUGUAAGAUAAGGAGAUUGAAGAAAAGAAGUUACAACUUACCCAAGACUACUGAAGGUGUCAAUGUCAGAAGCAGCAUUAGAAUGCAGGAGUUCCUACUAUCUUACUCAGCCCAUUUUGUGCCUCCCUCUGAUUGGUAAAAGAAACAUGAGCUGUGUUGAUGCAAACAGCCAAAGGAUUUGGGGAGCUUGUUGAAAAGCUCAGAACCAUAUGGUUAUUUCCUGUGUGAGUGAAUAUGUUAGCCUGAUUAACUCCAGAAGAUUCUAUAAAUGGUCCACCCCUGCAAUUCUUCUUCAAGCAAAACUCCCAUUUGGAGACAAGAUCGGUUGUUUAUAAGCAAUGCACAGCAUUAACAGAAGCAAGGCAGAGGUUCUAGAAGAAAUUAAGGCUAGAUCCACAAAGCAGACAAAUGAGGUUGUGCUUGUGAUCUGCCAUAGCUUCUGCCGUGAUCUCCACAUCCGUACACCAGAAUGUCAUAAGAUGUGAUGCUGAUCCCUGGUGAACCAACCUCGCACUGGGACAACGGGAACAGACCAAUCACUGUGGGCCCAGAAGGCCACGCCCCCUUUCCCCUGCUGUACAUGUUCCAGAUGGAAGAGCCAGAUAAAAGGAGGCAGCCCCGCUCAGUCAGGGCUGGCUGCAGAGAUGGAAGGACAUGUACUGCAGGCUCCUCCAGAGGUGCUGGUGGCGCUCUAGGUGGCAGAGCCCAUAGACCUGGACUAUGCUGUGGGUGACUCACGGACUGUAGAGACUGAUGGGGAUGCCAAGCUGCCACCAGCUGAGGAGAUGCCUGGGACGCAAUUUAUGGUAGGAAGUGACCCAGGAUGUAGUAGAAGCUGAUGUCUAAACCCUUAAUGGGGAAGUCCCUGACUUCAUAGGGCUCUGAGUUGGAACCCAGUGGAGCAGGUGGGGCUGGAUUCCCUUACCACAGGCCAUUAGGCUUGGCUGUUGUUUGCACUCAGCCCCAGUCCAGAGGCUCAGGGGCUAUAGAUUGUUUGAUUGCCCUGUCCCACUCGGUGGCUACAGACUGAUUGUUUUUCUGCCCCGCCCAGAGGGCCAGAACCCCAAAUACUACUGCCUGCCACCGUGAAGAGGCUUAGGGGCCAUAGAUUAUUUGUUUGCCCAGCCCUGCCCGGGGGCUAUAGGCUGAUCAUUGCCGUGCCCUGCCCAGAGGGCCAGAAUGCCUAUCGUUGUCAGCCAUAUUCCAGAGGCUCAGGGGCUACAGACUAUUUGCUUGGCCCCCACCAGAGGUCCGGAACGCACCGUGCUGCAAUUACCUGCUCUAACAAGCAAUCCUGACAACGGGGUGUACCAACCCUGCACUGGGCCAACAGGGGCUGCCCAGCUGGACAAACAGCCCUCCCCCUCCCCCAGCCUUGUCAUAAUUAUCAAAGUGAAAUGCUUCACAUUAUCAAAAUGAAACAUUUAGAUGGCUUCAAAUUGAUUUUUUUUUUAAUUUCCAGUUUGUGGCAAAUUUCAGAAUUUCAGCCUUUCGUUAUGAUUCUAAAUGAAAACAAAUGUUGAAAUAUCAGAAUUUACCACAGAAAGAAAAAGUUGUUUUCUAGCCAGCUCGACUGAUGUUUUUUUUUAAAGAAACAUUUUGAUCAGUUUUCUGCAUACACAUUUCAGUAUGGGUUUAUCCCCAUCUUUGAGUGCUAAACUAAUUGUAUCCAUUAACAGUGCCAAGAUUUACUGUGCAGUAAAAAUAGUUAUACACAUCCCAUACUCUGCACAUUUACUUAAUAAACUUGUUUUACAUAUGAUAACAAAGCUAUUGAAAACAUAAUAGAAAUAUCAAAGUUCUGCAGAUAUUUUUCUUAUUAAAAUUAUGAAUUAAAUCCCCUUGCAAAAAUGAUGGGUUAAGCAAUAGAUUUCAACUUAAAAAUCAAAUUUCAUAUCCCAUCUGCAUGAGAGACCUUGGUUACAGACUUUUAUUGACUAAGUCCGAGAUUAGAAGAAAUAUGAUGUCCUUGUUUCACCUAACUGCAAUCUGUCUGCAACGAGUUAACAUCCUGCAGUGACUGGAAAUGGAAACUAAGAGGUGACGAUAAUGAAAAUAUGAGUCUUGUGCUACCUGUUAUCAAGCACCAGAAAAAAAUGUGAAGUGAUUUUUAAAAUCAAAGGAAACAUUACUGCAGAUGUACUGGUAUAAAAGUGAGUUUCUAAGCUAUCCUCAAUUUCCAAUAAUUGUAGAAUUUUUCAAAAGGAGUAAGAUGUAUGUCAGAAUAUAAAUUUAUGCUCCUCUAAGAUUGAGGGGCAAAAUUAAUACUCUGCUUGAACCACAGGUAAGCAUGUAUUCUUUUCUCACAAAUUAUUAAAAAUCAUGUUAUUUUUGUUCUCUUCUACAGAUCUAAUGCCUGUAAUGCGUGUCUCAUAUUUUUUUUAUUUCUUCUUGGAACCACAGUGAGUAGAAAAUGAACAAGGAAAUGAGAACAGCUGCAUUAUUUAACCCCUCCCUCCAGCAAUGGCAGCACAAAUCAUUGGUGUACUAGUUAUGCAAAUACUGAUCGCCAGAUAAUGCUGUUUGUUAUUCAAGUGUAUGUUGAUUGGCCUACAUGUUUGUACUAACAAUUAUAGGAGGUGAUACAUAUUUGGUUUCAAACUUGAAUUAAAUCAAAGUAUGGGUUAGAUGUGCCCCUUGGAUCUGCUACUUUAUCACCAAAAAGACUAUAAGAAGCUUGAUAAGUCUUUAAACAAAUAUUUUUAACCCACCAAAACAUCUGUGAAGGGUUUGGCACCAGCUUUUGAAUCCUAUUUUGCACCUCAUCCAAACCUCCCAAAGUUCCUUGUUGGCCUAGUAAACCCCUAUAUCAAGCCACCUUAUCAGGCCCCUACUCUUUAUUAUUUUCCUUUUUACAACAUCCCAUUUGGCUUGCGAGAGUUUGCCCAGGAAGGUGGAAAUUAACUGUAACCUCAUCAACCAACUGGGCAGGCUUCAGCUGCAGUCAGUUCUAUUUAAACAAGUUUUAAAAGUUGAUCAAGCAAACAGGCUAAAUGAA
Non-coding RNA from Caretta caretta (loggerhead turtle), 4579 nucleotides. Lineage: Eukaryota; Metazoa; Chordata; Testudines; Cheloniidae. The record is from RefSeq and is a predicted model, not a curated record.